UAUGCAUUUCCCGUCCCUAGAUUUGCCACUACUUGCCAGCUAUUUCCACUGAAAAGGGUGGCAUUAAGUGUAAAAAAGGUGGCAUUAACUGGAAAAUGACAAAAUUCCACUCUUUUUCCACUGUAGUGGCAAAAUUGCCACCAAAUGCCACUAUCCUUUGGUAGCAUUUAGGUGGCAUUGAGUGGAAAUUUGAACAUAGACUUUUUUUAUGGUGGCAAAAGGGUGGAAAUUGGUGAAAAAUGAAACUUAGUUUAUUUUGAAGGUGGAAAAUGAGUGGCUUUUAGUGGAAAAGUGAAACUCUAACUAUUUUCUGGGUGGCAAAAUAGUGGAAAAAAACUUAGAAAAUUUUGUGAAUAACUUUUAGUCGAAAAGGGAAACUCUUAACUAUUUUCUGGGUUGUAUAAAAAUUGGUGGAAAAAACUGAGAAAUCUAAUAAUUGUGCAUUAUAUAUAUAAUGCAGGGUUUAAGAUUUAUUUAAGUCAAAGCUCCAAACUGAAAUAAAUCUGUUUAUAGUUUGUACUCUACCAAAGCAUCAAGUGAACUUUUUAUCAAAAAUAUAAUUUAUUGAAGUUGAACAGUUAGAAAAUUUUAUCAGAAACUCAUAUUUCUUAAACAUACUAGAAUGCCAUGAACACAAUUCUGAUACAAAGUCACUGCCUCACAGUAACGGUAUGAUAAUUCCAGCUGUAAAGUAGCAGGAAAAGACACAGAAAUUGGACGUAAAAUCACUUUUCCAGGCGUUAAACACAUAUAAUUAUGAUCAGGAAAAAUUAGAAAAGUAUGGGGUUACUUAACUUCCCAUUUUUUAUGGCAGUACUUUUCUUUAGGGAUGUAAAAUUUGACUUUCAAGUAAAAUGUUUAUGUUCCAUUCUAUGCUUGUAAAAUAAAAUUACGGCUUUUAACGUGUACUUUGUUCUUUAGUUAUAAUCUGUACAUUAAUUAAAUAGUUGAAAUGUUCUUCUAUGCCCAGAAAAUGCAUAUCUCUGCAUAAAGUUUGUUGCUUCUUCUAUGAUAUUUAAUGUCAAUCUUGAAUAAAGUUUGACUUUUGUCUUUUCUUCUAAUUGACAUAAUAAAUUGUCUCUUCAUUAUUACUUUAAACUGAUAUCUGGUGAGUACUAACACUUUUCAUGUAAUGCUAACAAUAAUUAAAGUGAAAAAUGCAAAGGGCAAUAACUCCAAAAGUAUGCAAAGAGUUAUGGUUCUUAAACACAGCACAUUACUCAAAAAGAUCUAUAUCUGUGAAGUUUCAAAUUAAUAUCUCCAGUACUUUUUAAGCUUAAUGAUCAAGACAAAAAUUAAGCAUAGAGAAGUAAAAAAUGGCAAUAAACCCCAAAUCAUGCAAUAAAAAGUUAUGGUUCCUUGGCAUUGUAACUUCUCAUAAAUGAGAUUUAGUUAUAUGUGGAGUUUAAAAUUAUUGUCUCUAACAUCUUUUGUGCUAUGCUUUCAGAGGCUUUAAAUCUAUUGUAAAAAUUAAUGUGUGAAAAGUAAAUAAGUCAUAAUGUCUGAUAAAUUUCUUACAAUCAGGAUAAGUAAAUACUAGCUAGUAAAUACUGCAUCCUCUAAGAUUUAACAACACAGCAUACAUCUAAGAUCUGAUAAAACUACGGCCCUCUUAUCUAGUAAUCUAUGAAUGGGGGUUAAUAGUUUACUCAUGCUGACCAGAAUGUUCCAUUUGAUUAUUUUGGGAGAGGCAACAUUAUACAUGUUUUUAUGUAGAAUUUGUCUUAAAAUAGCAUGCUAAAUUAUCUUUCAAAAGCUUAUUUCUACUCAAUCUAUUUAGGUAUUAGAUAUAGUUAUACAUUCAAAUGAAUGUAAAAAAUAAAAUGAUGGGUGCUAUGGUUUUUGGAAAAUCCCUCACAAUUUAAAAUUAUAAUGGACUGUCCAUGCAGUUACACCGUUGUAAAGUUUGAAUUCAAAGGAAUUGAGGUCAGUUAAAGCUUGCAAACACAAAGGAAAUUAUUGAUAUUGUAGCAAUUCUGGAGAUAUUUUGUUUAAAAUGUAAGGGUGCAUAUUUUUGAUUUCUCAAAGAAAACAUUUAAAGUCUUAUUAGUGUGGUAAAUAGAAAUGAGAAGUUUUAACUGAAGUGUGAAUGUGUAGACAAGAAGAUAAACAGCAGAAUCAUUCCCAGUCAAAGUUUCAGGUAAACAACUUUUACAUACAAUAAUUAUUGUUAUUUAUGCAGAAACUGUUUAGUUUUUUGACAGUAAAAAUAUGAAGUGGUAUUGUAUAAAAUUGUGUUUUAUAUUUGUUUUGUUUGUAACUUGACUAAAAAGAAAGCUGCAUGUACAAUGUACAUAUAAAGAAUGUAGGAAUAUAAAGAAUGUAGGAAGAUCUUCAUCAUUUCUUAAAUACAAUAUGUUAGAAAUUUUAAGUUUGAGAAAAAAAUUAUAGAAAUUAAUCAACACAAAGCAAUGAGGAGCAGCCUGGAGCAACACAUUUGAUCUUCAGUGGCUUUACAAAGGACCAAGUGAUGGCAGAACUGAAGCCAUAUGCCUCAAAAGAGAAAGGUACAGCAAAGCUCUUCAGAAUGCUAUUCAAUAUAGAAGAGAUUAAAGGCCGCUCAUUGUUUGGUAUGAGGAAAGGGAACAGAGAGUCUGACGCCAGACCUUCUUGUGCAGACAAGGCAAAACUUAAGUUCUUGGAAGAUUGUGCGCUCGAAAAGUUGCCGACAACCUAAAAGACUGAACUCAAACCAUCCAGGAAUAGCAAGAUAAACUGAAGAAAAUAAAUGGACUAAUGUUUUGCUAUUUUUUGAGACAAUAUAUAAUUUCAUAUGGAAACAUUAAAAAGGAUUAUUUUUAAAAUUUGUUUGUUUCCAAUUUAGGGUACAGGUGACUUUCAAGCAGUUUCCAGCUAUUGCCACCCACAAGGUGGAAAAUUUCUGAAAGGGUGAAAAUAGGUGGCAUUUAGUGGAAACUGAAUUUGCCACUAUCUGGUGGCAAAAUGGUGGAAAAGUGUCUAAAUACUCCACCAAUUUUCCACCCUUAUGGUGGCAAAAGGUGGAAAUAAGUGGCAUUUGGUGGAAAAUAAGUUUGCCACUCAAUGGUGGCAUAAUGGUGGAAAUUUGUCUAAAUACUCCACCAAUUUUCCACCAUUAUGGUGGCAAUAAGUGGAAACAAGUGGCAUCUAGUGGAAAAUGAGUUUGCCACCCUAAGGUGGCAUAAUGGUGGCAUUAUGGUGAAAGUUUGUCUAAAUACUCCACCAAUUUUCCACUCAUUGGUGGCAUUUAGUGUAAAAAAGGUGGAAUUAACUGGAAAAUUAUAUAACAUCAGUCCUGCUCAAAUUUUUCACCAUUUUCAUGAUUUGGGUGGCAUUUUGGUGGCGUUUUGGUGGCAUUAUUGGUGGAAAAUUGUCUAAAUACUCCACCAUUGAAAAGGGUGGCAUUUUAGUGGCAAAUC
RNA transcript from Ruditapes philippinarum (Manila clam), 3398 nucleotides. RefSeq lists it as uncharacterized. NCBI's taxonomy places the organism in Eukaryota, Metazoa, Mollusca, Bivalvia, Venerida, Veneridae. The transcript has 4 exons. The record is from RefSeq and is a predicted model, not a curated record.